This 403-nucleotide long non-coding RNA is filed under the name Manacus vitellinus (golden-collared manakin). RNAcentral describes it as "lncRNA (ENSMVIG00005000612.1)". Lineage: Eukaryota; Metazoa; Chordata; Aves; Passeriformes; Pipridae. The record is from RNAcentral.
GAGGCCUUGACGGGGCCGGGGCUGCCCCGCUUCGGCUCCGAGCGGACGUGCGCGGGCCGUGAGGGACGGCAGUAUCCGGCCCCGGGGGCUUGGGCAGGCCAGGCAGCCGCUGGGGCUGCAGUGCGGGCCCUGUGGUGGCACUUACCCACGCUCUGGGGCAGGACAGGGAUCCCUUACACUGAGGCGUUUCAAACAUAAGUAUCUAAACGCUGGUGCAAUGUCUCACUGGGCCGGUCUCCUCUCCACUGCUGCCAGAGUCAACCUGCUGGUGCUGCUGGUGUCUGUGCUGUUCUCCUGGUCAAGCCUGAGCGACAGAGUUCCUGUAAGUGUUGGCUGCUCUGGCUGGGAGCUGUGCCAGUAGGGUCUGUGGUGGGGUGACAGCCUUCUCUAGAGCCCAGGAGGG